Molecule: ribosomal RNA, 295 nt
Filed under: uncultured bacterium
Lineage: Bacteria
Description: partial 16S ribosomal RNA
Rfam family: Bacterial small subunit ribosomal RNA
Source: RNAcentral
UCCGUGCCAGCAGCCGCGGUAAUACGGAGGGUGCGAGCGUUAAUCGGGAAUUACUGGGCGUAAAGCGCAUGCAGGUGGUUGUUAAGUCAGAUGUGAAAGCCCGGGGCGUCAACCUCGGAAUUGCAUUUUGAAAACUGGCAAACUAGAGUACUGUAGAGGGGGUAGGAAUUUCAGGUGUAGCGGUGAAAUGCGUAGAGAUCUGAAGGAAUACCGGUGGCGAAGGCGGCCCCCUGGACAGAUACUGACACUCAGAUGCGAAAGCGUGGGGAGCAAACAGGAUUAGAUACCCUGGUAG